UAAAGGUUGUGGAACCCUAAAAUCCCAGUAGAUAGAUGUUGGGAAGAAUGACGAUGUGGUCAAAAGUUUUCUCUCUCAGAGAGGGCUAUGCGAUGGCGGAACCCUCCUUUCGUGCAAAGGUGCAACUCGCUGUGAAAGCCGCAACUUGUGCAUCUUUUGCCAUCCUUUUUUUGGGGACGGCCCCCUUGCUCGUACGCGUCGUCAAAACGGAAAGGGAGGUCGCCAAGAGGUUUGAGGCAGCGCUCUUCCCUGAAGAAGAGGAAACAGAGUGAAGAGAAACAGAGGCCUUAAGCAUCCAAGUGAAUUUAUUUUGCUGCUUAUAUAGACUUUAAUUUAAGGGUGCCCUUAGUCUAAUUUCAAUAUGCGGGAGGUUGUUAUUAUUCACGUAUGUAUGUUAACUGUCUAAUGUAAUAUGCGAGUAGUUGUCAUUAUUCGCAUAUGUAUGUAACAAUGGUCUUAUUUUGAGACUCAAAAGUAUCAUUAUUUAUAUGCUACUGAAUGUUUAAGCAUUAGUCCCAUAUGGAGGUCCUGCACCUAUUUCUUUGCAAAAUGUUUUGUGUGAAUGGAAGUUCCUGCAAGUAUCACCAGAUCAAAAAAAAAAAAAAAAACAUAACCAUUCAUGUCACAAAAGAAAGAAAAAAGAGAGGUAAACUGGAAAAGCAAAUAAAAUGAGGAGUACAAGAAAAGAACAUUCUCAUUAUAUUAAGUAUGGUUGUUGAAAACCAAUCUGUAACUGAAUCAAUGGAGGUAGAAAAGAGAACAGGAGCACCACACUCUGCCAAUAUUAUCAUUUAUCAUGUUAUAGUCCAGACGAAAUAGUGGGAAGAGAGCCGGUACAAGUGUUUUGUUGCUCUGGUACACACAGAAGAGGUGUCUAUACACUUUUAAGGGAUUUUGUGCUUGAUCGGGGACUUGAACCUGACGGUUGUAUCUGACAUUCAAAUAUAUUUGGAAAAGACUAUCAAUCAUGGCUUACACAGAGGUUCAUAUCAGAGAUAUAAGGAACUUAAUCGAGAAGAACCAGCUGGCAUGGCCUGGGUGGACCUCAUUCUGGAUGUUAUGUUCUCGAAUCUAGAGGUGCUCUUGUUUCCCGGGAAGGGCUUAUACUUGGACAUUGCCUCGUUUUUUCUAUUCUGGUUGUGCAGUCAAGUAAGCAACAUGUUUAUGGGUUUGUUAUUACAGUAUAGCAUUGCUUUCUUACAACAUUUGAAGAGUUGACUCCACAGAUGGGAUGUUCCAUUUUUAUGCUUAAUGCUGCCUAAUUGAUGGCUACAGUGCUAGAUCUUGACCUUUUUUAGAUUACAUAUUGCAUAGAGGACUUUGGAUGCAUUUUGAUUGACUCGAUGUGUGUGUGUGUGUGUGUAUACAUACAUACAUACAUAUAUAUAUAUAUAUAUUUUUUGUGUUAAAGUAGCUUUCUGUUGUAUUGGCUAUAUAUAGCUUUUGUUGGAAUCGUAUGUAUUAUAUGCUUGUUUGAACAAAACCAAGGAUAGUGACGGUACUAAGCAAUGACUUUCCCAUGCUGUCUUUUGUUGAGACAGUUCAUGUUAAUAUCCUUUUGUUAUAGACUUAUAUCUUGUUUGCAGGUCCAAAGAAUGUAAAGGAUAAAUUUCUCGUUUAUAAAUAUAGUGCUUCUGAACUUGGUGGGACUAAUGACACCAUAAAAUGGCAGGGAUGUUCCAUCCUUUAUGUUGAAUGAUUUACUUCUGCUUCUCUUCUAGCAAACACGAUUUUAUGUGUAUCCAUUUAUUAAGUAGUAUGUUUUUGUCCAUUUGUGUUUGCUAUUCGUAUAUUUCACGUUUUUUGCAGAUUACAUUCAGUCUUCUUUUUUCUUUCGUGAUUGCUUUCGUACCAGACACUCUGAGUGCAGCACCUGAUAAAGCAUCUGUCCUGUCCCGGGUGCCUCCAUUCGACAUAAAUUUCAUGAAAUUGUAAAAAAAAAAAAAAAAAAAGAUUGUGGUUUUUCCUUCUUAUUGUUUAUGAAUUUUGUGUUUGGAAAUUGCUGCUCAUCAUUUGAGCUUCAGGUAAUGGCAGCCAGAAAUGAUCCAAAUCUUGAGGGCUUUGUCAUUACCAUAAGGCCAGCUUGGGAUUUACACUUGAUGUUAAUACAAGAUGCUCUUACCGGAAGGGAUUCUAUUUCAAGUGGUUCAUCGAGUGAUUUGGGUUAUCUACAGUUGUGUUUGGAAGUGUGUUUUUUUUUUCAAAGAACGUCUUCCAGUUUAUAUUAGAUAAAGUUCUUAAAACUGCAGCAUUUGAGGUUGGUUCUUAUGCUCUGUAUUCUGUUUUUUUAAUAGUUGCGUCAAAUGCUUAACACGUUGCUUCAUCUUCAUGUCACCUAAAUCCUAACCCCGGUGUAUGUUACCCAAGUAGCCUUACAUCUAGUCCCAUUGAAUAAGUCGGUUUUCUAUGAUUUGUUAAUUGGCUGUUUGAGGCCAGUUAGGGGAUUGCUACUUUUUCUAGUGGAUGGUGUCAAACGGGGUUAAUCUACGGUAUUGCAUUUCCUACAUUGUUUUCCUUUUGAAUAGAAACAACCCUUUAUUGUUUUUCACUGGCAUUCCUGUAAGGAUGGUGUAACAUGUGUAGAAUGAUGAAGAGGAUAUGUGCAACGCCUAUCUUCAAAAGUUGAUCACCUAUUCACCUGCUUCUUACUCACCCACUUGCCAGAGACAAGGUCAAAGAAUCAAAGAAUUAAAGGAGAGGGCUAUGAGCGUGCUUAGUCCAUACUGCCUGGUUGGGUCACAUGAGCUUUCGCAUGAUAGUAACCAAACCGCACAAGCCUCUGAAAGUGGUCCUCUACCAUUUGUCUCUCUUUUGGAGUUUGUGAGUGGAAUUUAUCGGAAGGAGCCAGAGCAAUUGUCUGGCAAUGACGCCUUGUGGACAUUUGUGAACUUUGCUGGAGAGUACGAUACAAAUUUUUAAACUCUUGUGGCUCUCUUGAAUAUGCUGAGUACCUUGGCUUCUAGUCAAGAAGGUGCUGCAACGGUUUUGGAGUUACUUCAGGGCAAAGUGUUUCGUUCUGUUGGGUGGAGCACCUUGUUUGAUAGCUUGUCAAUUUAUAAAGAGAAGUUUUAAACAGUCCCUUGCUGGUGCCAUAUUACUGGAACUCCCAGAGGAUGAUGCUUAUUUGAAUCUCCUUCAAAAGGUUGUGGAAAAUGGAAAUCCCCUGGAACGAAAUAUUUGGAAGGAUGUAGUUUUCCAGACACUGUUUGUGCUUAGCUGUUAGAAAUUUUGAGCAUUAAGCUUUGCCAAUUUUGUAAGGUCAGAAGAAGAACGACUUCAUGGACUUUCCCCGGCAAAAGUAACGAGCUAAUGUCAGUUAGAAGCCAUAUGUUCUAUGUCUAUCACCAUUUAAAUCACAUACUCUCUGGAGUGGUGUUAUUAUAUGCUUUUUUAUUUUUUAUUUUUUAUUUUUUUGAUCAUGAAGCAUCUGUUUUCUAAUUGAUUCGUUGAUUCUAUAGGAGGUAUACCACGAUGGUGGAAAUGUGCCGGGGAAUAGAGAUCAGUUAAUAACUAUGUUGCUUCCACUAGUGGAACAUGUGCUGAAUGUCUUCCUAAGCCAUUUUCAGAAUAGGUAUGUAGGUAUGGAUCUUAUAUAUCUUCUUCCUCCCCUUCCCCUGCCUUAUUUUUUCAAGAGAAGGGUUGCUGGUGGCAGUAUAUGUAGAGCCUUGUAAGAGAUUGUAUCAUAUUUAUGGAGAUAUUCCCAUAUGGACUUCAGUUCCGACCUCUAAUUACUUGUGAUUAGCAAAGGCUGCUGCCUGCUGGUACUAAUGAUUCAUGACUAUUUUGAUUUCAUUUUGUCCUUGAAGUAUUGUUGGUAUUGAUUGGCAACUUUCUUUGGUUAAUCUUACUUUUUCUUUGCAGUUCUUUGGCAUCUGAUCCCCCUGGUUCUUUGAAGACAAUUACAAAUGGUGCCAACUGUGGCCCGGUACAAGACAUAUCUUUGUUUAAAGCCGGCAGGAACAUGGGAAGUUGAUGGAACAGGAUCGAUAACUUAGCUUCUAAUUGACAAUAUCAGUCGGACAGCUCCCAAUAUCACCCAUUUGCCACUCAAAUUUGAUCUUGUAAUAAUAGAUGCUACUCAAGGAAGUGAACUUGGGAAAAUAAUAUUACUCUAUGUUUUGGAUGCAAUCAUCCGUGUAGAUCAUGAGAGAUAUUUCCUGGACCAACUUCAAAGCAGGGGGUUUCCUAUGAUCAUGUCCUAUGAACAUCAGCAGGCAUGGAAAUGUGUCAUUGGAGAUGCUGUUGAAGCUAGUAGCAGUCUUUGGUCCGGCGAUAUGAUCUACCAUUUCAGCACCUCCAGAGGUUGGAGUUAAUCUUCAGGCAGAGCAAAGAUAUUACCACACACUCUUCUUGUAAGUCGUGAAUGAAUGUCUCACUGUAAAACAAGUUGUGAUUCAAUAUUUAAUUUGAUUACAGGCUGGAAUGCUGCAACCAAUACUCUAUACACCUGCAAAAGAUCCAGAAAAUUCUCCCAGUCUUUGUAAGUGGAGGGCAAGUUGUAAAAUUAGUUGAAAAGUGGAGUGCCAAAAUUAGUCCGCAGCUUCUUCUAAAGGUGUCCUCAAUCCAUCAGCCUUAAGGAUGUCCAUGUGGAUGGAUUUUCACUUAUGAGCCCAUGUGAAUAUAAUGGCAAGCAAAAUCCUGCCCUUGUAUGAGAAUUUAUUCAGCAGAUGUAAGUUCCAAACACAAUUCUCCACGUGCACACAACCUAUUUUGGAGGUGGAAAGACCCUUUUGUCUAAUGAAAUCAUGCAUUUGUAAUAGUGACCAAAUCAUGCCCCUUUUUUUCUGCUGAAUGAAUGAUAUGCAGUAGAAUUUCCUAUUAAAGUUCUGAUAUUCUGAUCUUAUUCUGUGCACAUGUAAGUUUUGAAGGUGGAAUGACCUUAAGGAAAUAUUUGUUGCUAUUCCUUUUCAAUUAGAUGGUACAGAUAGUAGAUAUUCGUUUAUUGAACAUAUCGGGUCAUCUCUGCAUACUUAUAUCACUUUCAUUCGGACAUAAUUUCUUAUCUAGUUGAAAAUAUAGUAAUCGACGCUCAGAAAGUCUAUCCUGUUAUUUUGUUUGUAGGAAGGGGUCCGUGCUGGCAAGAUGUGCUCUAGAAUUGAAUCUAAUUCUUCAAGAGUCAUAACAGAUGCUGUCUUUCAGAACUGCAAAAAGGUGGCUUCGCUGAUAUAAUGUGUAACAGAAUUGCAUACACACAUUCAUCCCAAGUUACAGUUCCUAUCACAAUUGUCUCAAUGCUCUCUACCUCCUCCAGUCAUACGCCAAGUCACUUAAUAUUUGUAGACUAGAGCUCAGGAAUUUUGUGAGGCAAAGAUUAAAGCAAUAUCAGUCUUGCCUGAGGAGCUUGAAGACAGAAGUAGUCGUCCCUUCCUAGAGUCAUCUUCGGCAUUACUUAAUAUCGGUAUACUAGAGCUCUAGAAUUUUGUGAGGACAGUCUUGCCUGAGGAGCUUCAAGACAGGAGAAGUGAUCGCUGCAGUAUUCGCCUUCAGGCAUUGUGCAAAUUCUCCUGAUUUUGAUGGUCUCAUGUGGGAGAUUGCAGUUUGUGUCUUCAUUACCGUGUAUCUAAUUCUUAUAUAUGUAUGUACAUUGCAAUGUAGAUCCUUUAAUGAUAUAAAUAUAAAAAUUAAAAAAUA
Molecule: RNA transcript, 5631 nt
Organism: Rosa chinensis
Lineage: Eukaryota; Viridiplantae; Streptophyta; Magnoliopsida; Rosales; Rosaceae
Exons: 13
Source: RefSeq, a predicted model, not a curated record